RNAcentral lists this ribosomal RNA (156 nucleotides) under Penicillium griseofulvum. Its description in RNAcentral is "5.8S ribosomal RNA". It matches the Rfam family "5.8S ribosomal RNA". From Rfam's summary of the family: 5.8S ribosomal RNA (5.8S rRNA) is a component of the large subunit of the eukaryotic ribosome. It is transcribed by RNA polymerase I as part of the 45S precursor that also contains 18S and 28S rRNA. The record is from RNAcentral. Lineage: Eukaryota; Fungi; Ascomycota; Eurotiomycetes; Eurotiales; Aspergillaceae.
UAACUUUCAACAACGGAUCUCUUGGUUCCGGCAUCGAUGAAGAACGCAGCGAAAUGCGAUACGUAAUGUGAAUUGCAAAUUCAGUGAAUCAUCGAGUCUUUGAACGCACAUUGCGCCCCCUGGUAUUCCGGGGGGCAUGCCUGUCCGAGCGUUAUU